Molecule: long non-coding RNA, 4393 nt
Organism: Paramormyrops kingsleyae
Lineage: Eukaryota; Metazoa; Chordata; Actinopteri; Osteoglossiformes; Mormyridae
Source: RefSeq, a predicted model, not a curated record
CUACUGGAUAGUAGCUCUCCAGGACCGGAGUUGGAGACCCCUGCUCUAAAGUCUCUUCAGCCAACCCAUGUCUUUCCCCUUAAUUUUACUCCCCCUAGCAAACAGCAGUGAAGAAGACAUUGGCUAUGAUGGACCAGGAAAAAUGUAUAACUGAUUUCUAGACUCUGUUGACUCUGUUAAAGUUGUGACUGUGACUCUUUAUACUCAUUUGAUUGAAACAAAAUCUUGGUCUGGAUUUGUACUUUUUGAAGCUGACCUUUCCACCACUGCUAGGGGAUCAUUUAUGCGGAUAUUAGCUAUUAACACAUAAAACGUUGACACCUAUCUUUAACUCCAGAAAGCUGAUUCAGGGAGCAGACUAUUUCUAAGGCAUUAUUCUGAUUAUCAUUUUUCAAUCUGACUUUCUUGAAGUUUUUCAAAUAUGUUUUUGCUUGAGAACUUUUUUGCGGUUUUUAAAUGUAAAAUUAAAUGCUAUAAACUUUCUAGGUCAUAUAAUUAAACUCCAGUGGCAUACACAACUACUAGUGUACUACUGCCUAUGUUAAGUGACCCAACUCAAGACCUUAGGGUAUAUUUUAGUGUGUGUGUGUGUGUGUAUAUAUAUAUACACACACACACACACACACACAUAUACAUUUGUUAGUCUUAUUUACUGUAGGUUAUUUGUUUGAAUUAAAAUUUUAUGCAAAUAACACAUAUAUAUAUAUGUGUUAUAUAUGCAUUCUCGGUAUCUGUAUGCAUUCUCAGAAUCCAUAAAAUAUGGUCAUGCUCUUCAGUAAUUGGGACCUGGCCUGAACCUGUGAUAGAACAGGGAGCAUUCCUGGUUCUGGAAUACUCGGCAGAAUUCCAUGUGUAUUUACUUCCUUUGCCCUGGUGCUGGGGUCUGUUUGUUUGGUGGUUUCCCUUAGAGGCCCUGCUGCGAUACCAGGUGACUGGCAAGUGCAGCAUGAAGAAUUUGAUGGUAACAGACCCACCUUCGCUUUCCCUCCAACCUGACCAGCAUGCCUUCCUGUGGUUUGAUAAAACUCCCACUCAGUUCUGGCUAAUUAGACCCUGCUGUGUUUGUGUUAGAUCUGUGAGUACAUGCAAGACAAGGCAACCUUUAUGAUCCCCAUACUGUUCUGUUUUGGUAACUAGCACGUGAUCCUGCGACAUAUCAGUCUCUGGAGUGAUACGGAUAAUUCAUCAGGUGACCAGGAAGUGAAUUCGCGCAUGACCAAGCUAGAGCUAUUUGCCACUGGACGGGUGUGAUGAUGACCGGACUCCGGAGAUUCUGAUUCACUUGAGUGACACACCUGCCUAUGCCCUGGCCUUGCUCCGCGGUAACCCGUAAAAGCUGCCAUCUUGUGCUGCCUAACCCUAUCGUGUGUUUUAUAUGCCCGUAUUCUGUAUAAAGCGAGACGCUGUCUGGGAAGCCCUCUUUGUCUGGACCCAACCCAGCAGACGGCUGACUUAAUGAGCCUUGAAGAGAGGGGGCAGAUGAUUGGCUCUGGCAGGUGGCACGGUGCAUCCUUUCAGUGUCUGCCAGGCUCCUCGCUGCUUUAACUGCUGGGAUAAUAGUUUCGGUCAGGUGUGUCUCCACGGUCGCACUCAGGCUCUGGCCCAAACUGUCUCUGCCAGUAAGUAAUGGGCUCGCCCCCAUUUGGUCCAAGUGCGAGGCUGGAACAGCCUGGACAAGAACGCUGACUGUGCCCAGCUGAGACAAAGCCACAGGUCCUGAGGAGUGAGGGUGCUUUUAUGUACCACCUGACACAGUAAUUCUUCUGUAAGAUGGGGCUGGGCACACUCAUUAAUGGCUGGGGAUCACUUCAUCUGUGCCGUAUUAUCAUAGCAAACCUGGUCCUGUUUUCCCUCUAAGGCCCAGAACACACACACAGGGUGCCUGAUUCCACAUCCUGUUAUAAUCCUGUACCCACCUGGUUUUCUUGUUUUCCUCUUAUCCCCCCCCCCCUAUCAUUUUCUAAGCUCUACCUCCCAAAGCCAAAGUCCCUAUCUCCCGCCACCCAUUCCUGGGUCCUGUGGAUCACUCUAUCACACCUGGAUUACCUAUCGGGACUGAGCAAUUAUGAUGUAAUAAAGGUCACUCCUUGCCUCCCUUGAAAAACAAACAUCCAGUUGAAAAGCACAUUCAGAGGAAGGACAACAGUCAUCAGACAGCCACACUGAUGCUUUGCUACUGGCAGCAAAGGGACUUCAGUUAAACUAUUGUGGAUUUCUGCCUAAGAAGAUCAUAUUCAUUGACUAGGAUCUGGUGGGACUGUGGCAGUCCGUGUGCGGGCAAUUAUGCAGAGCAAAGAUAGCGUGGAGAUUAUUUGCAUUUUCAUACCCGCCAUGUGGCACAAAAAUGUCGAGUGGACACCCUUUCAAGCUGGACAGGGCUAAUGCCUAAAUGAGACACUUCAUGCUUCACGUUCAGACGAGUCCAGUUAAAUUACAGUGAUCUUUCAUCAAAGUGCCUCUGCCCUCAAAAGGGAAUGCAGUGAGACAAUCAUGGACACACUGGAAAGGGAUAAUUGGCCAUUUCCAUGUUAAUGUAAAUAGUACACAGGGACAACCAGGGAGGAUAAUAAGAUGGGUAAAAUCUUUCUGGUCCAUUUAUACAAAUUACAUAUUUUUCGCACGUGUUCUGAUCUCCGUAUGUCAUCCCAAAACGAUCAGAGAGAUGGCUGCCUUAAGCUUAGUGAGAUUUCCCCUGGACAUGCAAAACAUACCCAAAAAUGGCAACCGACAAAUACAGUCCUUCAUUGGCUGUUACUUCAUGCUACCCAGACCUGCAAAAAGGGGAGCCGUAAAUUUGGUUUUAUAGUCCGAAAAAAUCGGAGGCUUCACGCUGAGCAUUCGGCAGCCUAGAAGUGACGAGGCUGAUUCCUGUUUCAGGAUGGAUUGCGAAACACACAGUUUCUCUCCCCCCUGCCACCCCCUUCUGAAAAUAAACAUUUUGUUCAUAACUCUAUGUUUAGAUUGAGUGACACAUAGAUUCACAAAGGAACUGGAUGUAAAUCAUAGACAGGCAGGCUCAGGAACAAAAAUAGACCUAAAGGUAUGAUUUGGAAGGUUCCAGACACAACAGCCAUCUGUUCUCUGUGUACGCUGGGAAGGCCACACUGCCCUCGAUCGGUGCGCUGACGCUGCGCUGAGAACGCACUCUGUGCCUGAUUGACACAGCAGGCGAUGAAUCUCCUCAUUAUUCUUUUACUCACAUUCACGGCAUCUGGCCUCCUACACAAGUGCCACGUAUAUUAAAAACAACCCAGUUCUGUGUUUUAUUACUUGGUUUGCUUUAGUCAUUCAGUAAAUAAAUCUGAGCAAGAUACUUUACAACAUGUGUAUGUAUGUUUGGUAUUUGGUCAUUGAUCUGCAUCAGGUGUACUGCUGGAGAUUCUGGACUCCAUGACAUCAUAUCAUACUGGGCCCCCAACUCAGACCAAUCCACUUACGUUCCAAAUUAUUUAGGGCCCUUGUCACUCAGGGGCCCUUUGAAUCAUCCUAACUUUCCCCAUCUAUAUAGUGUCCUGAUCUGGGUGACACUGGUGCUUAGUGGGCAAUACUGAUACCUCACACCUCCCAGUUUGGGUGUCCAAAUUCUGCCUCUUGCAUAUUUUCUGCAUGGUUCCUGAGUUUCCCAUAGUCCAAAGACAUGCAGUUAGGAUCAUCAAUGCCUCUAAAUUGCCCCAAGAGUAUGAUAGUGUGUAUAUGGACUGGCAUCCCAUCCGGGGUGUAGCCCAGCCUCGUGCCCUGUUACCUAGGACAGGAAAAGUGGUUCAUGAGUGGAUGGAUGGUAUGUGAACUGCUUCCUUACCACUUAUCAUUGCAGUGAUACAUUUGGUACAAUCUAAUUCCACUGCUCAUUGCUUAAAACAAUAUAAUCAGCAACAAUGUCAAGAAAAAUAACUGGACUUUUUUUUACCACAAUCAGUCCAAAAACUAAAUCAAUUUAAUAAAUCAAUAAUCAUACAAUGUAACUGUAAGUAUUCUCAAAAAUCUUAAUGUCAUUAGCCAAGAAAGCCCCCCCAAAAACACCCCCAGAGCAGUAUAUUAUGCAAAGCCCUGGAUUCUUCUAAAUUCAGCAAGAACAUGAUGCAAUAAUCUCACCUGCCAUUGGGAGAAAAAGUCAUAAAAGACAAAAUAUUUAACAGUGAAUAUUUCUGGACCCAGUUUAUGGGCAUAGUAGACACCACUCUGACUUGAAUGGUCUAAAAAUAGGCGUGUUAAACCAUUUAAAGGUCCCCGGUGUGCUUCUGAUUUUUUUUUUGGCACAAAGAGAGCUCUGUGGAGGCCGCCACAGGGCCUCGGAUUGGUCACUGCGUGACUCCGGGAUCGUGGAAACGCUCUCCAUAAACGGCACUUUCACGGAGUCCUGGAGAGCUUAGCUUGGAUCACUGUGCUACAGUGA